UACUGUUAUUCUAAACCAAAUCACACGGCGUCUUCACGGGCGAUUGGAUCUGAGCUUGAGGCGGAGAUGGCGGAGGACGGAGGCAGAGGCCGCCGUCUCUGCCGGUCGACAACGGAGAAAACGGCCGCAACCGAGGAGGACGGCCAUGGAGGGGAGGGUGCUUGCCUCGAUCCGGAUGAGGGGAGCAGCAGCUGCGACCUCGAUGCGGAUGAGGAGAGCAGCAACCGCGCCCCUGUUCUUCGAGGCGCGGCGGCCGGCGGCCUCGGCUAGGAGCUUUGCCCUCUUAUUCCCGCGCGGUGCAGCGGCGACCUGAGGACGAGUUCGAGACAUAGUGGUGGUUCCAGCACACGACGCCGGGGGAGGCGGCGGUGCUUCCUUGCCUUGUCUAUUCUCCUUAUCUGAGGUCCGUCCGACGGCAGAUGCACACCCGACAUCGUCAUGGAGGCUCCGACCCCGAGGCACCCUCUCUGCUUCCUUCUGGUUGCAUCUCCCCCUGAUUCUAUUUUAUCCAUGCCUACAUGGUGCACAACAGAACUCCUAACAGGCUUGCAAUCUCACGCGUAAGGGAAGAUGUGUUCCUCUCUGGCUAGCACCUGCUCGAUCAAAUGCCUAGCCAUUUCAAUCGUUUAUUGUAGGAAAUAUAAGGUGCACCCAAAUAGGAGGCCAUUCUGUGCAGCCUAUUCUUUUUGGUUCUAGGAAUCCUAUGGUAGAGGGUGGUGUUAGUUCUAUAAAUAACUUUCAGACAUUUGUAGUUUUUCAGGUUGUAGCGUGACAACUUUGAUCAAAAUUUGUUUCAGUUGACUCUACAUUCCAUUCGUUGAUUUUGUGUUCUUAACUGAAAGCAGAGUUUGUUGAUCUAUGUGACUUGGAUUAGUAUUCUUCUCUUUGCUAUGCUAAUAUUCACCUUGCUUCAGUUGACCCCACUUUCCGUUCGUUGAUUUUGUGUUCUUAACUGAAAGCAGAGUUUGUUGGUGUAAGUGACUUGGAUCAGUAUUCUUCUUUUUGCAUAUGCUAAUAUUCACCUCUAACAGCUGCUAAAGUAUCAUGGCAUUAUACCAAACUCUGCUCUGCCCAAAUUUUCCAGGCCUGAAGAGAGGAAGAGUAGGCCGGCGGCAAGGAUCCAGUGACGACUGCCUCCGUAGCGCAGAUACUUUGGAUCUAUGUGCUUUGGCCAAAUUGGUCAGGCCUGAGACUGAUUAGAAGACCUUUUCUGAUAUCCUUGAAUUAGCCGUGGAAGGCAGAGGAAGUAGAGAUAAAAAUGUAUCACGCUUUUCUCUUCUUUUAAGCAUUUCAUCUGUUUGAUUCAUUUUAACAGUACAAGGAUUUCCUUUAUUCAUACGUGAUUUUGAAGUGACUCUCACUCAUGUGAGGUUUAGCAUUAGGGAUAUUUCCAUAUGUUUACUUUGAGCUCAUUUUAUCAUCUUUUUUGUUAGCGACUUCCUGUUCUUCAUUCAUGUUAGACAGCGGUCCAUGUACUGACCAAGAACAAAAAACUGCUUAUGAAUGGUUUGAGUGGAGGUAGAAACAAAUUGUGGUAUUUUGGCUAAUUGGUUGGAUGACUACUUUAACUUUUUACCUUGCACAAAAUAAUCGAUUCCUGGUUUCCCUUUAUGUUUCUUUCUCGCAAAUGCCAUUGGAAGCUCUCUGUGAUUUCUAAUGCUGGCCAUUUUGUUGGUUCAUUGUGGCACAAUUCGAAGCAGCCGCAUAUAAAUGUGUAAGUGGCAUCAUGAUUUGGGACACUACAGCGACAUUUUGCUCAUAUCAUAGUGCAUACAACCUUUUUCACAUGUGUUAUCUUAUUGUACCAUGGAUAUGCACUGCUUAUGUAUAUUCAUUUGUUGUAUGCUUUACAGGACAGAUGGGCCUGGAAGAUACACCAGAAACAGAAGAAAAAGUUCUCAAAAUUGCGGAAGAGCGAUAUAGAGGCCGGUGAUCAACUCUAAGCUCCACUUACAAGGCAUACAAAACAGAUGCAGCUAGAUUGGCUAAUCUGUCGGAAGAUUUACAACCGGAAGAGUGAAUGGAUGAUUGAGUACUUUGGCACUCAUUCAAAAUUUCAGGAACACAACUGAAAGAACACCGAUAACCGUAAGAAACAGAAGACAAAACACAAAAUUAGAUCAAAAUCUUACUCGCAACUAAGUUUUGAGAAGGUAUGAAUCUAACUAAAUAUGUAUGCCUCGCUGCUAACUCUCACCUAGGCGAAGAAUGGAACAUGGUCUAACACAGAGUCCCAGGAUGUUUAAUGUCAAUAUUGAUGCGGCACCUAUAAUUGUUCUUUCCGUUUUUAGGACAAAACACGUCAAGAGGUUGAAAACAAAGAAACUGAAACUCAUGGUCCAUUUUCAAGAUCCAAAGAAUUAGCUCGACUGGACUCUAGAUCACACACAGUUUAGUCUUGGCACUUAAUUGGGAUGGCUAAAUUACAUUUGAGUUUCAUUUGAUGGAUAUUUACUAUGAGAAUUAUGAAUUUUAUUAAUCUACAUAUUAUACGUAUGGUUUUGAAUA
Molecule: long non-coding RNA, 2508 nt
Organism: Triticum aestivum (bread wheat)
Lineage: Eukaryota; Viridiplantae; Streptophyta; Magnoliopsida; Poales; Poaceae
Exons: 6
Source: RefSeq, a predicted model, not a curated record